UAGGGAAUCUUCCACAAUGGGCGAAAGCCUGAUGGAGCAACGCCGCGUGUGUGAUGAAGGGUUCCGGCUCGUAAAACACUGUUGUAAGAGAAGAAUGACAUUGAGAGUAACUGUUCAAUGUGUGACGGUAUCUUACCAGAAAGGAACGGCUGAAUACGUGCCAG
Molecule: ribosomal RNA, 164 nt
Filed under: uncultured bacterium
Lineage: Bacteria
Description: partial 16S rRNA
Rfam family: Bacterial small subunit ribosomal RNA
Source: RNAcentral